RNAcentral lists this ribosomal RNA (253 nucleotides) under uncultured bacterium. Its description in RNAcentral is "partial 16S ribosomal RNA". It matches the Rfam family "Bacterial small subunit ribosomal RNA", at positions 524 to 776 of the family's 1533-position model. The record is from RNAcentral.
UACGAAGGGGGCUAGCGUUGCUCGGAAUUACUGGGCGUAAAGCGCACGUAGGCGGCUCUUUAAGUCGGGGGUGAAAUCCUGGAGCUUAACUCCAGAACUGCCUUCGAUACUGGAGAGCUCGAGUCCGGGAGAGGUGAGUGGAACUGCGAGUGUAGAGGUGAAAUUCGUAGAUAUUCGCAAGAACACCAGUGGCGAAGGCGGCUCACUGGCCCGGUACUGACGCUGAGGUGCGAAAGCGUGGGGAGCAAACAGG